Molecule: unclassified non-coding RNA, 330 nt
Filed under: soil metagenome
Description: partial contains 5.8S ribosomal RNA, internal transcribed spacer 2, and large subunit ribosomal RNA
Rfam family: 5.8S ribosomal RNA (bases 1-121)
Source: RNAcentral
GAUGAAGAACGUAGCGAAAUGCGAUAAGUAAUGCGAAUUGCAGAAUUUCCGUGAGUCAUCGAAUCUUUGAACGCACAUUGCGCCCCCUGGUAUUCCGGGGGGCAUGCCUGUCCGAGCGUCAUUACAACCCUCAAGCUCAGCUUGGUGUUGGGCCCCGCCGCCCCGGCGGGCCCUAAAGUCAGUGGCGGUGCCGCCCGGCUCCGAGCGUAGUAAUUCUUCUCGCUCUGGAGGUCCGGUCGUGUGCUCGCCAGCAACCCCCAAUUUUUUUCAGGUUGACCUCGGAUCAGGUAGGGAUACCCGCUGAACUUAAGCAUAUCAAUAAGCGGAGGA